GCCAAACCGUAAAAAUUUAACCCACACCACAAACGCCAGGGCACUACGAGCUUUAGCUUAAAACCCAAAGGACUUGACGGUGUCCCAUCCAACUAGAGGAGCCUGUUCUAUAAUCGAUAACCCACGAUAUACCAAACCAUUUUUUGCUAAUCAGCCUGUAUACCUCCGUCGUAAGCUUACCGUAUGAACAAACAACAGUAGGCCCAAAGACUCAACGCCACAACGUCAGGUCAAGGUGCAGCUUAUAAAAUGGAAGCAAUGGGCUACAAUUUCUAAAUUAGAGCAAACGAAACACUACAUGAAACAUAGUCAUGAAGGAGGAUUUAGCAGUAAGUAAAAAAUAGAGAGUUUUACUAAACUUGGCCCUGAGACGUGU
This 376-nucleotide ribosomal RNA is filed under the name Leptomantis penanorum. RNAcentral describes it as "partial 12S ribosomal RNA". The stretch from base 39 to 376 matches the Rfam family "Bacterial small subunit ribosomal RNA", at positions 875 to 1384 of the family's 1533-position model. Lineage: Eukaryota; Metazoa; Chordata; Amphibia; Anura; Rhacophoridae. The record is from RNAcentral.